UGGGGAAUAUUGGACAAUGGGCGAAAGCCUGAUCCAGCCAUGCCGCGUGUGUGAAGAAGGUCUUCGGAUUGUAAAGCACUUUAAGUUGGGAGGAAGGGCAGUAAGCGAAUACCUUGCUGUUUUGACGUUACCGACAGAAUAAGCACCGGCUAACUCUGUGCCAGCAGCCGCGGUAAUACAGAGGGUGCAAGCGUUAAUCGGAAUUACUGGGCGUAAAGCGCGCGUAGGUGGUUCGUUAAGUUGAAUGUGAAAGCCCCGGGCUCAACCUGGGAACUGCAUCCAAAACUGGCGAGCUAGAGUAGGGCAGAGGGUGGUGGAAUUUCCUGUGUAGCGGUGAAAUGCGUAGAUAUAGGAAGGAACACCAGUGGCGAGGCGACCACCUGGGCUCAUACUGACACUGAGGUGCGAAAGCGUGGGGAGCAAACAGG
RNAcentral lists this ribosomal RNA (428 nucleotides) under Pseudomonadota bacterium. RNAcentral's name for it is "Proteobacteria bacterium partial 16S ribosomal RNA". It matches the Rfam family "Bacterial small subunit ribosomal RNA", at positions 355 to 776 of the family's 1533-position model. Lineage: Bacteria; Pseudomonadati; Pseudomonadota. The record is from RNAcentral.